AUACGAAGGGUGCAAGCGUUAAUCGGAAUUACUGGGCGUAAAGCGUGCGUAGGCGGUUUGUUAAGUCUGUUGUGAAAGCCCUGGGCUCAACCUGGGAAUGGCAAUGGAAACUGGCGAGCUAGAGUCAGGUAGAGGGUGGUGGAAUUCCCGGUGUAGCGGUGAAAUGCGUAGAGAUCGGGAGGAACAUCUGUGGCGAAGGCGGCCACCUGGACCAUGACUGACGCUGAGGCACGAAAGCGUGGGGAGCAAACAGGAUUAGAUACCCUGGUAGUCCACGCCCUAAACGAUGCGAACUGGAUGUUGGGCUCAACUCGGAGCUCAGUGUCGAAGCUAACGCGUUAAGUUCGCCGCCUGGGGAGUACGGUCGCAAGACUGAA
Molecule: ribosomal RNA, 377 nt
Filed under: uncultured bacterium
Lineage: Bacteria
Description: bacterial SSU rRNA
Rfam family: Bacterial small subunit ribosomal RNA
Source: RNAcentral